AUUGAACGCUGGCGGCAGGCCUAACACAUGCAAGUCGAGCGGAUGAAGAGAGCUUGCUCUCUGAUUUAGCGGCGGACGGGUGAGUAAUGCCUAGGAAUCUGCCUGGUAGUGGGGGAUAACGUUCCGAAAGGAACGCUAAUACCGCAUACGUCCUACGGGAGAAAGCAGGGGACCUUCGGGCCUUGCGCUAUCAGAUGAGCCUAGGUCGGAUUAGCUAGUUGGUGAGGUAAUGGCUCACCAAGGCGACGAUCCGUAACUGGUCUGAGAGGAUGAUCAGUCACACUGGAACUGAGACACGGUCCAGACUCCUACGGGAGGCAGCAGUGGGGAAUAUUGGACAAUGGGCGAAAGCCUGAUCCAGCCAUGCCGCGUGUGUGAAGAAGGUCUUCGGAUUGUAAAGCACUUUAAGUUGGGAGGAAGGGCAUUAACCUAAUACGUUAGUGUUUUGACGUUACCAACAGAAUAAGCACCGGCUAACUUCGUGCCAGCAGCCGCAGUAA
RNAcentral lists this ribosomal RNA (500 nucleotides) under uncultured bacterium. RNAcentral's name for it is "partial 16S ribosomal RNA". It matches the Rfam family "Bacterial small subunit ribosomal RNA", at positions 30 to 523 of the family's 1533-position model. The record is from RNAcentral.